AAAGAAGCAGAGGGGGCUUAGUGGUGGGGUGACUGCGUACCUUUUGUAUAAUGGGUCAGCGACUUAUAUUCUGUAGCAAGGUUAACCGUAUAGGGGAGCCGGAGGGAAACCGAGUCUUAACCGGGCGUUAAGUUGCAGGGUAUAGACCCGAAACCCGGUGAUCUAGCCAUGGGCAGGUUGAAGGUUGGGUAACACUAACUGGAGGACCGAACCGACUAAUGUUGAAAAAUUAGCGGAUGACCUGUGGCUGGGGGUGAAAGGCCAAUCAAACCGGGAGAUAGCUGGUUCUCCCCGAAAGCUAUUUAGGUAGCGCCUCGUGAAUUCAUCUCCGGGGGUAGAGCACUGUUUCGGCUAGGGGGCCAUCCCGGCUUACCAACCCGAUGCAAACUGCGAAUACCGGAGAAUGUUAUCACGGGAGACACACGGCGGGUGCUAACGUCCGUCGUGAAGAGGGAAACAACCCAGACCGCCAGCUAAGGUCCCAAAGUCAUGGUUAAGUGGGAAACGAUGUGGGAAGGCCCAGACAGCCAGGAUGUUGGCUUAGAAGCAGCCAUCAUUUAAAGAAAGCGUAAUAGCUCACUGGUCGAGUCGGCCUGCGCGGAAGAUGUAACGGGGCUAAACCAUG
RNAcentral lists this ribosomal RNA (625 nucleotides) under Salmonella enterica. RNAcentral's name for it is "partial 23S ribosomal RNA". It matches the Rfam family "Bacterial large subunit ribosomal RNA", at positions 568 to 1191 of the family's 2925-position model. The record is from RNAcentral. Lineage: Bacteria; Pseudomonadati; Pseudomonadota; Gammaproteobacteria; Enterobacterales; Enterobacteriaceae.